This 83-nucleotide transfer RNA is filed under the name Rhodopirellula sp. RNAcentral's name for it is "tRNA-Ser". It matches the Rfam family "tRNA". Rfam says of the family: Transfer RNA (tRNA) molecules are approximately 80 nucleotides in length. The record is from RNAcentral. Lineage: Bacteria; Pseudomonadati; Planctomycetota; Planctomycetia; Pirellulales; Pirellulaceae.
GGAAGGGCCACCCGAUAGGUGACGGGACCCGGUUGGAAGCCGGUUGAGCGAAAGCCUUGCGGGUUCGAUUCCCGCCCCUUCCG